UGGAGAUGUUGCCUAGGUAACCGAACUUUCAGCGUGCUGGAACUGUUCAGCAGGUGUCAGUUAACAGAGCUCUUCCAACGCAUACAAAUCGAGCAGGAGUAUUUAAAACACAGAAAAGCAAAUCCACUGUUGUUUCGCUGCCAACAAUCCCCGUCAAACACUCCUCCUCAUCAGCUCUCGCAGCUGCACGCGCUGUGGGAGGCAGCUUCCCGGUGGGACAGGAUUCCAGCAAUGCUGGGAGGACUGGAGCAACUGGGCUACACACAGAGCAUCUUCUCUAGUUCUGAGGGCCCUGGGAACUAGGAUCUCAGUUGAUGUGCUUUCCAGUGACAGUGCAUCCAGAGCAACUCACAAUCAGCCCAGUCCAAGAGAGAUAUGUCCUUUCUUCAGUGUGUUGUCUCCUUCAAGAUGUCAGGACCACAUAGGAGCACAAUGUUGACUUACAGGUAUGCAGGAUGAACUCCCAUUAGUUCUAACAUACUUUGAACCCUCUGGCAUGAUUUUGCAAUUUUGAAUAAAUUAUAAAUAUGAAGAUAUAUUUCUCUGAAUUCCUGAACAGCUACAGUUACAACAUAACACAGAACAACACAGUGCAGAUUUCCAGCACUGCAUUAUCAUCA
This 620-nucleotide long non-coding RNA is filed under the name Lepisosteus oculatus (spotted gar). RNAcentral describes it as "lncRNA (ENSLOCG00000022072.1)". The record is from RNAcentral. Lineage: Eukaryota; Metazoa; Chordata; Actinopteri; Semionotiformes; Lepisosteidae.